CCUUCGGGAGGCAGGCGUCUACGGUGUGGUCAGUGACUGGGGUGAAGUCGUAACAAGGUAUCCGUACCGGAAGGUGCGGAUGGAUCACCUCCUUUUAG
RNAcentral lists this ribosomal RNA (98 nucleotides) under Zetaproteobacteria bacterium CG_4_8_14_3_um_filter_59_5. RNAcentral's name for it is "partial 16S ribosomal RNA". It matches the Rfam family "Bacterial small subunit ribosomal RNA", at positions 1439 to 1533 of the family's 1533-position model. Lineage: Bacteria; Pseudomonadati; Pseudomonadota; Candidatius Mariprofundia. The record is from RNAcentral.